UACGAAUAAAUGUACAACAUAAUAACUUCUUGACUUGUAUUUGCAUUUGCAUUCGGGUGAGGUUCAUACUUCAAAAUUGUCCAGGCCCAAGUAAUCUGCCCUAACUAGCUAGCUGCUGGGCUGAGUACUUGAGCCCAACAAACUAAAAAGGCGAUUUAUUUAAAGUAACAUUCAUACGUCGUCGUUCUGCUCUCUGUAAACCCUAGAAUUCUCCACAAUCCAAAAUCAAAAUAUGUCAGACCACAUACCCUUCGAAAUCCAGUCGGAAAUCAUGAAGACGCUUCCUCUAAAAUCGUUGAUUCGAUUCCAAUCGGUCUGCAAAUCAUGGAAGUCUCGGAUCCACAGCUCUGAUUUCAUUGCACAUUAUACUGGCCAGCAGCAACAUCUGCUUGUAAGAGUUUGUGUGACUGUUCCCCCAUUGGUUAACGACCUUGAAAAUCAUGUGAUCUUAGUCGGCAGCUCUCACGGCUUGCUGUGUUUCCAACGUCGUCAUCCGCCCAGAGACAGGGCUGUUAUUUGGAAUCCUAGUAUUAGAAAAGCGGUUGCUGUCGAUGUGCCUCAUGUGACAGAUUUGAACGCAUAUCGAACCGCUCUAGGGUUUGGGGUUUGUCGUGAGUAGGCCUGUAAACGAACCGAACGUUCAGCGAACAGUUCGUGAACCGUUCCGCGGGAAGUUCGUUUAUGUUCGUUCGUUUAAUAAACGAACGAACAUGAACAAGAAAUUUCGUUCAAUUAGUUAAAUGAACGAACAUGAACAGUGGUCUCGUUCGUUCGAUUGUGUUCGUGGACGUUCGGUAAGGUGUUCGUGAACAUGUUCAUGAACAUUCAUUGAUUUGCGUUCGUUUAUGUUCGUAUGUUUGUGUUUUAAUUGAAGAUCUUUGUACUUUUUUAUAUUUUAUUUGUACUUUUCAUAUUAUUAAACUUCUAUAUAUUUUAUUACCCUAACAAUUAAACUAGGAAACCCACUUUCACCUUGUUUAUGCAUUAUUUCUCUUUCAUUUCUUAUUAUUUACAUCGGCGAAUACGAUCGACCUCCGUUCCACAAUAAGGGAUUCAAGUUCGAGUGCUACUCUCUGGGCUAUCUAUCUUUAUCCUUUGUCGCGUUCUCCAAAUUUAUUUGUGUUUGUUUGUGUUCGUGAACCGUUCGCGAACACGAACAUAAAAUCUCGUUCGGUAAGUGUUCAUGAACCGUUCGUGAACACAUUUAUUUCCUUAACGAACGAACACAGACAAGGCCUUGUUCGUGUUCGUUCGGUUCGUUUACAGCCCUAGUCGUGAGACUACAAACCCUAAGAUUGUCACCGUCACACGUUCUGAAAGUUUAAACCCUUGGCAAGUUGAGGUGUUUACUUUAAGCACAAGGGCUUGGAGAAGUCCAUAUAGCACCAAUCUCCCGAGUAACAGUUAAUUUUUUUUGGGUUACCGGUAGUUGUAGAUGGAUGUCUUUAUUGGCUUACUUGGGAUUAUGCUACAUUUACGACUUGUGGUUUGAUUAUCUCGUUUGAUAUGACAAGUGAAGAGUUUGGAGAAGUAAACCUUCCGGAUGGUUUAGCCCACCAUGAAUGUAGUUUGUCCAUGGAUAAGCUAAGGGAGUCCCUUGUUGUGGUUGAAGUCUGUCAUGAGGCCAAUAAACGAGUUUACCAUGUAUGGAUGAUAGUGGAUGGUGUUCCAAAAUCGUUUCAGAAGCUCUACACUAUCAGUACUCACCCACCAAAUGUAUUAAUACGUGUAGUGGGAUUUCGGAAGACAGGUGAACCAUUAAUUGUGUUGCAAACUCAUCUUGGCUCCGCUAACAACAUACUUGCUGCCUAUGAACCCUACUCCAACAUACUUGCUGCCUAUGAACCCUACUCUAAAUCCAUCAAUAAUCUUGGGAUUAAUGAAAGAAAGACUAUUUAUUAUAAUGUGUAUUCCUACAUGGAAACGCUAAUUCUUCUUUGAUUCGCCUGUUAUUACAUUUAUGAAAAAAGGUAAUGGCCAAAUAGCAAAGUGGAUGGUUAAGGACGGAAGGCUUUUGAAGCAUACAAGCAGGUUAUAAUAUUUUUUUCAUAUUUUUUUUUUGUUAAUUAUUCAUAUUAGCAAAGUUAGUAUUUGUCCAUUGUUCCAAGAUUAUUGUCGUUUUUGUAAUUAUGUGAAUCAUUUAUAAUUCAUCCUGUGUUCAAGAUAAGGUUUGGUACUUUUCUUAUGGUAAAACUUCCAGCCAUUAUGAUCUUUGUUCAUGGGAGUACAUGAUUCUUGAAAUCAAUUGGUAGGCCGUUGGAGCCUUGAUCCA
Helianthus annuus (common sunflower) is the source of this 2272-nucleotide long non-coding RNA. RefSeq lists it as uncharacterized. The transcript is spliced from 2 exons. The record is from RefSeq and is a predicted model, not a curated record. NCBI's taxonomy places the organism in Eukaryota, Viridiplantae, Streptophyta, Magnoliopsida, Asterales, Asteraceae.